Molecule: ribosomal RNA, 253 nt
Filed under: uncultured bacterium
Lineage: Bacteria
Description: partial 16S ribosomal RNA
Rfam family: Bacterial small subunit ribosomal RNA
Source: RNAcentral
UACGGGGGGGGCAAGCGUUGUUCGGAAUUACUGGGCGUAAAGGGCGCGUAGGCGGCCUUCUAAGUCGGACGUGAAAUCCCUCGGCUUAACCGAGGAACUGCGUCCGAUACUGAAAGGCUUGAAUCCGGGAGAGGGAUGUGGAAUUCCAGGUGUAGCGGUGAAAUGCGUAGAUAUUGGGAGGAACACCAGUGGCGAAGGCGGCUCACUGGACCGGUACUGACGCUGAGGCGCGAAAGCGUGGGGAGCAAACAGG